Molecule: unclassified non-coding RNA, 35 nt
Filed under: Mus musculus (house mouse)
Lineage: Eukaryota; Metazoa; Chordata; Mammalia; Rodentia; Muridae
Description: oocyte_clustered_small_RNA6633
Source: RNAcentral
UGUAGUUCUGGUUAGCUGGGGCUGAAGAAUUAGCU